GUGGUCAUAAACCUUGUGUUAAAAUUUCAUAGAUUUCUAUUCACUUUUACUAAAGUUAGAGUGCGAAAAACUAAAAGUAUUCGGACGACGACGACGCAGACGACGCCGACGACGACGACGCCAACGUGAUAGCAAUAUACGACGAAAAAUUUUUCAAAUUUUGCGGUCGUAUAAAAAUGGUAUUUUGGAAUAAGCCUUUCUGAAGCCAAUAUAUUCUAUAUUAAAUCUGCUUUCUCUUCAAGAGCACCUGAUAUCAAACUAAGGUUUGUUUGGGAUUGUGUUGCUGAAUCUCUAAUUUUAUAUAUAGAGAUUUGGGGACUUGUUAGCAUUUUUUUUAGCAAUACAGUGAAACUUCUCUAAACCGGUCCCUCUUAAUACCGGUUCUCCCUUCAUACCGGCCAAAUCAACAAGUCCUGGCCGGCGUGUAUGUAAAUAAACGGUCAGGUAACCUUAUAAAACCGGCCACCCCUUUAAACCGGAUACCGGCCGAUAUUUGUGUAUUUGUGUAAUCAAAAUCAAUAAAAUAUCACCUCAUAAAACCGGCC
This 545-nucleotide long non-coding RNA is filed under the name Mytilus galloprovincialis (Mediterranean mussel). Lineage: Eukaryota; Metazoa; Mollusca; Bivalvia; Mytilida; Mytilidae. The record is from RNAcentral.